This 930-nucleotide transfer RNA is filed under the name Kluyveromyces marxianus. RNAcentral's name for it is "tRNA-Lys". Lineage: Eukaryota; Fungi; Ascomycota; Saccharomycetes; Saccharomycetales; Saccharomycetaceae. The record is from RNAcentral.
AUGUCAUCAACCGCAGAACCAACAUUGAAGCUAAACACUGGUGCAUCCAUUCCUCAAAUUGGAUUGGGUACAUGGCAAUCACCUGACCAAGAGGCUUACAACGCCGUUGUCACUGCCUUGAAAAACGGGUACAGACACAUCGACACUGCUGCUAUCUACGGCAACGAAGAGGCUGUUGGUAGAGGUAUCAGAGACUCUGGUGUUCCUAGGGAAGAAAUCUUUGUUACCACUAAGUUGUGGGGUACUCAACAAAGGAACCCUGAAGCUGCUUUGGACGACUCCUUGAAGAGACUUGGAUUGGAUUAUGUGGACUUGUACUUGAUUCACUGGCCAGUGGCUUUGAAAACUGAUUCCAUUAAGGACGGUAAUGUGUUCACUUUCCCAAGAACUGCAGAUGGUAAGAUUGAUGUCGACAUUGAAGACUGGGACUUCACUAAGACAUGGGAAAAGAUGCAACACUUACCAAAGACCGGUAAGACAAAGGCUAUUGGUGUUUCGAAUUUCUCAAUCAAGAACAUCGAAGCCCUUUUCAAGGCAAAUCCAAACACUAUAGUCCCUGCUGCUAACCAAGUGGAAACCCACCCUCAAUUGGACCAACAAGAGUUGCUUGAUUACUGCAAGUCCAAGGGUAUCUUGCUAGAAGCCUACUCCCCAUUGGGUUCUUCUAACUCUCUACUUCUCACCGACCCAACUAUCAAGAAAAUCGCUGAAAAGCAUAACGUCGAACCAGCAAACAUUCUCAUCAACUGGGGUCUAUCUCGUGGUUACGUCGUCUUGCCAAAGUCCGUGAAUCCCGAAAGAGUUAAGAACAACAAGAAGAUUAUCGACUUGCCUGCAGAAGAUAUCGAGACGAUUAACAGUUUAGCUACUAAAAUCGGCUCAAAGAGAUACGUUAGCCCUGAUUUUACUCCUUUCAAAAUCUUCGAGUAA